UACGUAGGGUGCGAGCGUUGUCCGGAAUUACUGGGCGUAAAGCGUGCGCAGGCGGUUUUGUAAGUCAGAUGUGAAAGCCCCGGGCUUAACCUGGGAAUGGCAUUUGGGACUGCAAGGCUGGAGUACGGCAGAGGGAGGUGGAAUUCCAGGUGUAGCAGUGAAAUGCGUAGAUAUCUGGAGGAACACCGAUGGCGAAGGCAGCCUCCUGGGCUAGUACUGACGCUCAUGCACGAAAGCGUGGGGAGCAAACAGG
Molecule: ribosomal RNA, 253 nt
Filed under: uncultured bacterium
Lineage: Bacteria
Description: partial 16S ribosomal RNA
Rfam family: Bacterial small subunit ribosomal RNA
Source: RNAcentral